GACUGUGCUGAGGCGUUCCGCCCGCCUCCCCCUCCACGCCACUCAAGGCACGGCGGCGGCCCAACCGCAAACUAACGGAGAUUAACAAGAGGCUGGAUGCACUUGGCUCCCUGCUGCGUCCAUCACCAGAGGGGCUGGGAUUGCUGCGGCAGCUAGCCAAUUAAAGGAGGAGGAUGAAGGAGAGGAGGAUGAAGGAGAGGAGUCUGACGACGCAGACAUCGCCAUCGUAUGCAGACCACGCCCUCGCAGGAAGACCAUUUAAUGAAAACGCUUGCAGCAGAACACACCGGCACGACUGACAGAGCUUCUGAAGCAUGCAGUAGAAGAGCUCAGUCAAGCUAAAAGUCCCGCCCUCCAACCUGCUGCUGCUGCACGGCGAGGCGGAACUUAACACCUCACACACUAUUGGCCAGCUAGGACUCUGCAUCGCUGACAUCAUUGUCUGGAACCAACUUCACAUCCCUCUUCACUGCACUACUGACAGUGAGAUGGAAUCCACAACCCAACCACUAGUGGUCUGCAUUGGGAACCUGAAGAGUCUGUCAUAACCGCCAGGAAUGACCGUGUGACCAUUCCCGUUGCAGACGGCCUGACUUGCACAAUUGACAAGCUGUUCAAGCUUUACUGGGUCUGCAACUUGUCAUAUCCAGCACAGCUCAGCUCUGUUUUCACCUUCUUUGAAUAUGUUUAUGACGUUCCCAUCUCAACCAACAAACGACCAAAGGUACUAGAACUUCUCUCAAAACUUCCCAGCAGCCCAGUGAUCACUCAACAUGUGUUUAUGCCCAAAAUGUAAAUAGUUACUACAGACAUCAAGAAAGUAGUUUGGCAUCUUUGUCAAGUACACGCUUUGUCAGAUGUGCAGGAUAUGAUGAUAAUUUGCAGCCAAGAUGGCUGUUCAAGUGUACAAGGACUUACUACGUAGACACCACCUACGUAGACACCACCAGUCCACAACAACAGAAAUGGGUGUAUCUUUCAAUGACUCUUUUGAAUCCACUGACAUUCAGACAGCCUAUAAGUAACACCUGAAGAAGGAGCUGAAGAAGGUCCUUCUCAAGGACCGAUUCACCAUAAUUUACCACUUAAUGACAAUUUAUCUGUGUUGAUGCUUGUUAGGAUUAUUACAGGGAAUUAUUUUGAUUAUCAUUUUGGCAACACUUUAUUUUAGCAUUACAUCUAUUAGCUCUAAUACAUACAGUGUUAAUGCCUGUAUGCUGUAUAAGUAACUUGCAAGCAA
Long non-coding RNA from Engraulis encrasicolus (European anchovy), 1240 nucleotides. RefSeq lists it as uncharacterized. Lineage: Eukaryota; Metazoa; Chordata; Actinopteri; Clupeiformes; Engraulidae. The transcript has 4 exons. The record is from RefSeq and is a predicted model, not a curated record.